AACUACCUGAGUUACGUAUGAUCACCUGCUGAACUUAAGCAUAUCAGUAAGCAGAGGAAAAGAAACAAACAUGGAUUCCCCCAGUAACUGCGAGUGAAAAGGGAUGAGCCCAGCGCUUAAGGUUUCCGUCUGUUUGGGCGGUGACCGGUGUAGCGUAUAGAACUUCCGUUUGAUGACUAUUGGCUGGUCUAAGUUUUGCUGGAAAGCGGCGGCAUAGACGGUUUUACCCCUGUAGGGUCGGCUGUGGUUGUUAAGUGGUUGUUCUGGGAGUCGGGUUGUUUGGUAACGCAGCCCAAAGAGGGUGGUAAACUUCACCUAAGGCUAAAUAUGACCGCGAAUCCGAUAGAAAACAAGUACCGUGAGGGAAAGU
Molecule: ribosomal RNA, 370 nt
Filed under: Bursaphelenchus yongensis
Lineage: Eukaryota; Metazoa; Nematoda; Chromadorea; Rhabditida; Aphelenchoididae
Description: eukaryotic LSU rRNA
Rfam family: Eukaryotic large subunit ribosomal RNA
Source: RNAcentral